RNAcentral lists this ribosomal RNA (253 nucleotides) under uncultured bacterium. RNAcentral describes it as "partial 16S ribosomal RNA". It matches the Rfam family "Bacterial small subunit ribosomal RNA", at positions 524 to 776 of the family's 1533-position model. The record is from RNAcentral.
UACGUAGGGUGCAGGCGUUAAUCGGAAUUACUGGGCGUAAAGCGUACGCAGGCGGUUUGUUAAGACAGAUGUGAAAUCCCCGGGCUUAACCUGGGGACUGCGUUUGUAACUGGCAAGCUAGAGUGUGGCAGAGGGGGGUGGAAUUCCACGUGUAGCAGUGAAAUGCGUAGAGAUGUGGAGGAACACCGAUGGCGAAGGCAGCCCCCUGGGCUAACACUGACGCUCAUGCACGAAAGCGUGGGGAGCAAACAGG